UUUACCCCGAUGCUGCCAGUGGCUUGCAGAUAUCAAGAAUGAUGCCCCUUACGAUGACCAGAGAUUAUCAUAGGGAUUCUCAGGCUGAACUGAUAUGAUGGGGAAUCCAUUUCGACUACAGCUGAGAAGUGAUGCGAUACCAUACAUUUUUUUCCCUUCACAACAAMACGGAAGAUUCUCGAUUACAGGUUAUCUGGAGUCAUUCCAGUGACAGUGYCCUGCUGAAAAAUACCCCAAAGCSGCGGCGUUUUGGGUACACRAGCAUGAGGGAGGGGAAACCUUGUGGUUAUGAAGCACAACAAGAUUGUGGKACAGAAACCAGCAAGGGACACUGAAAGGAGAUGUGCAAAACCAGCAAAUCUUCUGCAAGAGGACCAAACAGUUGGUGGUUAAGAAGCCAUACACCACUUUCCGCAGAACCUUACCCAGCUGGCCGUUCAGACAGGACAAGACCAUUCGCUAUAAGCACAAAGAGUCUCAGCUUCCCCAGCCCACCAUGCCAAACACCAUUGGCAGUGUACUGAAGCCGGAUAAAGCCCAAUUCUGAUCUUUUUUUCACUAAUUGGUCUUUUGACCAAUCAGAUCAGUUCUGAAAAAGAUCUGAUGUGAUUAAGACCAAUUAGUGCAAUAAAGAUCAGAAUUGGUCUGCCUGUGUAAACGCAGCCAGUGUGGCUCAGCAUAAGACCAUGUUGCACAAGGGUCUCCAACCCUGUUCCUGUAGAGCUAYCCUCCUGUAGGUUUUCGCUCCAACCCCAGUUGUAACUAA
Salvelinus sp. IW2-2015 is the source of this 766-nucleotide long non-coding RNA. RefSeq lists it as uncharacterized. The record is from RefSeq and is a predicted model, not a curated record. Lineage: Eukaryota; Metazoa; Chordata; Actinopteri; Salmoniformes; Salmonidae.